Molecule: long non-coding RNA, 175 nt
Organism: Thalassophryne amazonica
Lineage: Eukaryota; Metazoa; Chordata; Actinopteri; Batrachoidiformes; Batrachoididae
Exons: 3
Source: RefSeq, a predicted model, not a curated record
UUGCAUGUUCUCUCCAUGCUUGUGUGGGUUCCCUCCUGGUGCUCCGGCUUCCUCCUGCAUCCAAAGACAUGCAGGUUAGGUGAACUGGAAACUCUAUAAUUGCCAGGUCUCCCUUGUCAAACAGAUCUUGAUCUCAGUAGGACUAACCAGGUUAAAUAAAUAUUGAAAAGCCAAU